UCCCUUGUAGCUCAGUCAGUAAAGAAUCUGCCUGCAAUGCAGGAAACCCAGGUUCAAUUCCUGGGUCAGGAA
RNAcentral lists this transfer RNA (72 nucleotides) under Ovis aries (sheep). It matches the Rfam family "tRNA". From Rfam's summary of the family: Transfer RNA (tRNA) molecules are approximately 80 nucleotides in length. Their secondary structure includes four short double-helical elements and three loops (D, anti-codon, and T loops). Lineage: Eukaryota; Metazoa; Chordata; Mammalia; Artiodactyla; Bovidae. The record is from Rfam by way of RNAcentral.